Molecule: transfer RNA, 72 nt
Filed under: Prevotellaceae bacterium
Lineage: Bacteria; Pseudomonadati; Bacteroidota; Bacteroidia; Bacteroidales; Prevotellaceae
Description: tRNA-Arg
Rfam family: tRNA
About the family: Transfer RNA (tRNA) molecules are approximately 80 nucleotides in length. Their secondary structure includes four short double-helical elements and three loops (D, anti-codon, and T loops). Further hydrogen bonds mediate the characteristic L-shaped molecular structure. tRNAs have two regions of fundamental functional importance: the anti-codon, which is responsible for specific mRNA codon recognition, and the 3' end, to which the tRNAs corresponding amino acid is attached (by aminoacyl-tRNA synthetases). tRNAs cope with the degeneracy of the genetic code in two manners: having more than one tRNA (with a specific anti-codon) for a particular amino acid; and 'wobble' base-pairing, i.e. permitting non-standard base-pairing at the 3rd anti-codon position.
Source: RNAcentral
GGCCCCGUAGUUCAACGGAUAGAAUGGAAGUUUCCUAAACUUUAGAUGGCAGUUCGAUUCUGCCCGGGGCUA